UAUGUCAACAUAUAAAAGUUGAGCAUCAGAGACCCAUUAGACCAUUGCAGUCCCUUCUUAUUCCUCAAUGAAAGUGGGAGUAUAGUAUUAUGGACUUUGUUAUUGAUUUGCCUAAUAAUACCUCGAAGUAAUAAUAUAGUGUGGGUGAUUAUUGAUUCAUCGACAAAAUCAACCUAUUUUUUACCAUUUUGAGUUCGUCUCUCCUUGGAAAGAUUGGCAAGCUUAUAUAUAGAGUAAAUUAUGAGCCUACAUAGAAUUAAUCUUGGUUACCAUGGCGUC
Molecule: long non-coding RNA, 279 nt
Filed under: Elaeis guineensis (African oil palm)
Lineage: Eukaryota; Viridiplantae; Streptophyta; Magnoliopsida; Arecales; Arecaceae
Description: long non-coding RNA (EGUI_LNC022054)
Source: RNAcentral